Molecule: signal recognition particle RNA, 97 nt
Filed under: Myceligenerans xiligouense
Lineage: Bacteria; Bacillati; Actinomycetota; Actinomycetes; Micrococcales; Promicromonosporaceae
Description: Bacterial small signal recognition particle RNA
Rfam family: Bacterial small signal recognition particle RNA
About the family: The signal recognition particle (SRP) is a universally conserved ribonucleoprotein involved in the co-translational targeting of proteins to membranes.
Source: Rfam by way of RNAcentral
UCAGACCCCUCGUGCGGCAUCACCUCGCCGAACUCCCCCAGGGCCGGAAGGCAGCAAGGGUAAGUGAGCUCUGAUGGGUGCGCGAGGGGUCCUUGCU